CGGGAUGAACGCUGGCGGCGUGCUUAACACAUGCAAGUCGAACGGAGUAUUAAGAAUGAAGUUUCGGAUGGAUUUUUAGUACUUAGUGGCGGACGGGUGAGUAACGCGUGGGUAACCUGCCUCACACAGGGGGAUAACAGUUGGAAACGACUGUUAAUACCGCAUAAGACCACAGUACCGCAUGGUACAGGGGGUAAAAAACUCCGGUGGUGUGAGAUGGACCCGCGUCUGAUUAGUUAGUUGGCGGGGUAACGGCCCACCAAGACGACGAUCAGUAGCCGAUCUGAGAGGAUGACCGGCCACAUUGGGACUGAGACACGGCCCAAACUCCUACGGGAGGCAGCAGUGGGGAAUAUUGCACAAUGGGGGAAACCCUGAUGCAAGCGACGCCGCGUGAGUGAAGAAGUAUUUCGGUAUGUAAAGCUCUAUCAGCAGGGAAGAAAAUGACGGUACCUGAGUAAGAAGCCCCGGCUAACUACGUGCCAGCAGCCGC
RNAcentral lists this ribosomal RNA (493 nucleotides) under uncultured bacterium. Its description in RNAcentral is "bacterial SSU rRNA". It matches the Rfam family "Bacterial small subunit ribosomal RNA", at positions 25 to 518 of the family's 1533-position model. The record is from RNAcentral.